GUUGAGGGAGAGGUUGUUGUCCUGGCACCACAUUGCCAGUUGCCUUACCUCCUCGUCGUACUACAACCGUGGUAUCAUAAGCAAACUUGAUGAUGGAGUUGGUGUCGUGCAAAGCCACACAGUCAUGGGUGAACAGGGAGUACAGCAGAGGGCUGAGGACACAACCAUGGGGGGCUCCUGGGUUAAGAGUCAGUGUGGGCAUUCUCUGCUCUGCUAUGAGAGUUGGUUAUCGACUACGAACAAUCAGAGGGGGCAUACUAGUGUUGUUCUGGGACCAUAACGUGAGUCUGACUGGGGAAGAGGGGUCUCCUCGAGGGACCCGCGUGUGUGUGUGUGUGGUGGGGGAAUCCGAGGUCCAUCAACCAGGACUAGACAUUGGCCAAUCAGAAUCCACCCAUCCCUGCACAAUUGGCACUCCUCUCAAACGGUUACAGCUGUAUGUGCAUUCACAUAGCAAGCCUACUCUUCAGCUGGGCUGGAGGUUAGGAUGACUGGUUUUAUUGUGUGUGUUUGUUGUGUAGGUGAUUGUAUGCAGGUCUGUUGGAGAUUCUGGAGUGCCUGAGCCCCUUACUACCCAGAGAGUGGAACACCUGGUUCUCUGUCUUGUUCAACCACAUGAUUUGCUUACACUUUACAACAACUCUCAUGAAUAGGCCAUUAUAAAUGGUUUAUAAAUUAAUAUGUUAGAAAUGCUUAGGAUGUUUUGUUUAGAAGUGCUUCAUUAAUGUUAACAAAUAAGAAAAUAAAGUAUUAACAGCAUGUACACUGUUUAUGAAUAUUAAUGCUUAUACAU
RNAcentral lists this long non-coding RNA (793 nucleotides) under Salmo salar (Atlantic salmon). RNAcentral describes it as "lncRNA (ENSSSAG00000089710.1)". Lineage: Eukaryota; Metazoa; Chordata; Actinopteri; Salmoniformes; Salmonidae. The record is from RNAcentral.